Non-coding RNA from Lolium perenne, 1450 nucleotides. The record is from RefSeq and is a predicted model, not a curated record. Lineage: Eukaryota; Viridiplantae; Streptophyta; Magnoliopsida; Poales; Poaceae.
GUACAGGAUGUGUGCGGUACAUUAUCUGCCGUCUAGGCUUAGCAAGUUAAUCUAUGAGCUCCUGUGCGGGAAACCUAGCGACCGCAUCUUCCAGCUCCCCUCGGCCCUCGCCGCGCUCCGCUCGGUUCUUAGUGCCAGGUGAGACUGCAUGUGGCGGCUCUCCAUCACCGCGCUGGAGAGGCAAGACUGCUUGUUGUGGUCAGUGGCGCGCAGAUGGCCGCCGUCUUCUUCGGAGAUCCUGAGCGGCUGAGCCGAGCUUGCAAGCUCUGCUGGCGCAAGUGAUGGUCGGCGGGGGUGAAGUGGAAGCUGUCGUUGGCUGUUCCUCACUGGCAGAGCGCGCGGCAAUUCAGUGGCAGGGGAUUGCAGCCAGAGGGAUCUGUGGCCGAGGUUGAUGAUGUUGGUGAGCGUGCUGUCGCCUCUUGAUGGAGAGGAGGUACCGUUCCUUUCCUCAUCAGACCCUCUCUGCUUUUGUAUAACUGCACGCUCUGCUGAUUUCCCGUAAUUCAGUCUGUACUUUGGAUCCAUGAAAUUUAGUCUGCACUUUGUUCUAUUUUGGGGGAAAUAUAUUACGCAAUUCAGAGUAGAAACACUAGUUUAACUUGUUGCCACAAAAACUGUUAAAUACCUGAACUCUGCUAUAAAUCUUGGCACCAUUUUUAUGUUAAAUACAUCUGGUUAGAGUACCUGAGCUACUUUGUUUGUGGGGACUAUCGGUAGUUUUUUCCUAGUUUCAGUAGUUGUUUUUUUAAGAUAUAUAUCUAAUUGGUUUUGGCAGAAUGCGACGUGAAAAAAUGGCUGCCACUAUUUUGCUCUCUCAUCUGCAACAGAAAAAAGUUUAAUACAUGGCAUCUGUCCCCCGCGAUGACUUGACUAUUUCAUUCGCAGACAUCGGGUAGGGAGGGCACCGCCCGAAAGAACAUUAAACUCUGCCCGCGUCACAACGCUCGAGCUAACCUUGCAUGACUUCCCAACCAGGAGGAAUCAUGAGGACAUUGUCCCAGAAGUGGGUGUUACGUUUGAUUUGAUUAGAGAUGCUUAGGACUUCUACAAUCUGUAUUCAUGGGAACGGGGGUUCAGGGUAAGAUAUGGUAAAAGCAGGCUCAAUGUCGACCGAGUGAAGUGCAUGCAAGAAAUAUUCUACGGGUGUUUGGGGAAGCCCUGGGCCACAACCUCGCAUUUCACCAGGUGCCUUUGCCCAGCCCUCAUCAGGUUGUUGCGUUCGAAAGGAUAAUGGAUGGUACAUAUGCGAGCAUAGGGAUGUCUGCCUCGUUUGGUGAGCGGGUGCAUUGACCGUCGCACAAAAGACUUGGUUAAACAGUUGAGGGAAAAUAAUGUCAAUCUUGGGAAGGUGUACAGUAUUGUAGGAAGUUUCUUCAGGAAAAUGGGGAAUGUACCAUUCACAAAAAGGGCAUUGAAAACUCUUUGUGGCAAGAUCAGUAGCGAGCAAGCA